UACAUUUCCUUACUCAGCUUUUCUUCCAGUUGAGGUGUAAAAAAGAAGCUGGUGAUGUGUACUAUGUGGUAGAGAAAAAAAGAUUCCAUUUUUUGUGUGUGUGUGUAUGUGUUGUCAUGCUGAUAAAAUCACUGCCAAAGUCUCACUGAAAUCAACUGACUGGACUGAAAGGCAACUGGCUACGUGGUCAUUUAGUGCAUGAAAUCUUAAAAACCAAUGAUGUUGGUACACAGAAGGAUAAAGGGUACUUACACACAGAGGAUAACUCCACAAGCAAACGACAAGGAACAUGAAGUGAGAGCCUAAAUCUCACACAGAGAUUUCAGUGUGAAAAAUGGAGCUGCAGAGGAUUUGGGAGAACCAACCAAAAGACAAAGACCACUUGGACAGCUCACUUAAUGAAUCCCAUUUUGUGCGGACAGCUGUGUUUGAGAGUCUGCCAGCCUCUCAAAUGCUGGGGCCCAUGUAUGAUGACCCAGGAACCUUGCAGAGUGUCAGACUCUGACGUCAUUCCUGAACUACAGACUCAUCCUCUGGACCACCCUUCAUUUCUAUUUGUACAGAACCUAGCACUAAAAGGACUUACUUUUCCUGUAGCCCUCAAGCCAUAUAAAUACAUGUAAACAGUAAUAACUGUCCACCAAUGCACUUCAAAGAGGACCGCAGAGAUCAGCAGAGGUCAGGUCCUCUUUAAUUCCAUGAAAACACUGGUAAUGACCUUGAAAAUUAGUAAUGGUGGAAAAUGAUAGAUAUUUAUUCCUGAGAACAAGCUUGCUGUUUCCAAAGAAGAAAUCAACCCAUACUUUGUGAGAGAAAUGCACCACCUCUCUAAAUUUAGAUUUGAAAGUGGCAGCCUCUCUACUCAUGAAAGUGUGCAUUCACCACUAAGGUACACAGUGGCCAGCUGAAAAUCUACAUGCCAUUUAGUUGGUAUUCAAUUUACCUCUCUCUUGCAGGUCUCUUGGAAUUAACAUUCAGUAAAUUUUAAGGGGAGAUGUGGUAAGGACAGGCUGAGGAUCUGUAAGUUCUGUAAACUCUGCCUGUCCUUUGUCUGAAUAAAUUAGGACUAUUUAAAAAGCUAGUAUUUA
Cygnus atratus (black swan) is the source of this 1088-nucleotide long non-coding RNA. RefSeq lists it as uncharacterized. The record is from RefSeq and is a predicted model, not a curated record. The transcript is spliced from 4 exons. NCBI's taxonomy places the organism in Eukaryota, Metazoa, Chordata, Aves, Anseriformes, Anatidae.